GACGAACGCUGGCGGCGUGCUUAACACAUGCAAGUCGAACGGAAAGGCCCUGCUUUUGUGGGGUGCUCGAGUGGCGAACGGGUGAGUAACACGUGAGUAACCUGCCCUUGACUUUGGGAUAACUUCAGGAAACUGGGGCUAAUACCGGAUAGGAGCUCCUGCUGCAUGGUGGGGGUUGGAAAGUUUCGGCGGUUGGGGAUGGACUCGCGGCUUAUCAGCUUGUUGGUGGGGUAGUGGCUUACCAAGGCUUUGACGGGUAGCCGGCCUGAGAGGGUGACAGGCCACAUUGGGACUGAGAUACGGCCCAGACUCCUACGGGAGGCAGCCGUGGGGAAUAUUGCACAAUGGGCGGAAGCCUGAUGCAGCAACGCCGCGUGCGGGAUGACGGCCUUCGGGUUGUAAACCGCUUUCGCCUGUGACGAAGCGUGAGUGACGGUAAUGGGGAAAGAAGCACCGGCUAACUACGU
Molecule: ribosomal RNA, 467 nt
Filed under: uncultured bacterium
Lineage: Bacteria
Description: partial 16S ribosomal RNA
Rfam family: Bacterial small subunit ribosomal RNA
Source: RNAcentral